CCUACGGGUGGCAGCAGUGAGGAAUAUUGGUCAAUGGCCGGAAGGCUGAACCAGCCAAGCCGCGUGAAGGACGAAGGUGCCAAGCAUUGUAAACUUCUUUUGUCAAGGGACAAAAUCAGGCUCGAGAGCCUGACCGAGGGUACUUGAAGAAAAAGCAUCGGCUAACUCCGUGCCAGCAGCCGCGGUAAUACGGAGGAUGCGAGCGUUAUCCGGAUUUACUGGGUGUAAAGGGGGCGUAGACGGCCAGUCAAGUCAGAAGUGAAAGCCCAGGGCUCAACCCUGGGACUGCUUUUGAAACUGCCGGGCUGGAGUGCAGGAGAGGUAAGCGGAAUGCGUGGUGUAGCGGUGAAAUGCGUAGAUAUUAGGAGGAACACCAGUGGCGAAGGCGGCUUACUGGACUGUAACUGACGUUGAGGCACGAAAGCGUGGGGAGCAAACAGGAUUAGAUACCCCAGUAGUC
RNAcentral lists this ribosomal RNA (460 nucleotides) under uncultured bacterium. RNAcentral describes it as "partial 16S ribosomal RNA". It matches the Rfam family "Bacterial small subunit ribosomal RNA", at positions 338 to 795 of the family's 1533-position model. The record is from RNAcentral.